RNAcentral lists this ribosomal RNA (466 nucleotides) under uncultured bacterium. RNAcentral's name for it is "partial 16S ribosomal RNA". It matches the Rfam family "Bacterial small subunit ribosomal RNA", at positions 28 to 507 of the family's 1533-position model. The record is from RNAcentral.
GACGAACGCUGGCGGCGUGCUUAACACAUGCAAGUCGAACGGAAAGGCCCUGCUUGCAGGGUACUCGAGUGGCGAACGGGUGAGUAACACGUGGGUGAUCUGCCCUGCACUUCGGGAUAAGCUUGGGAAACUGGGUCUAAUACCGGAUAGGAGCCAUCUUUAGUGUGGUGGUUGGAAAGUUUUUUCGGUGUAGGAUGAGCUCGCGGCCUAUCAGCUUGUUGGUGGGGUAAUGGCCUACCAAGGCGGCGACGGGUAGCCGGCCUGAGAGGGUGUACGGCCACAUUGGGACUGAGAUACGGCCCAGACUCCUACGGGAGGCAGCAGUGGGGAAUAUUGCACAAUGGGCGCAAGCCUGAUGCAGCGAGGCCGCGUGGGGGAUGAAGGCCUUCGGGUUGUAAACUCCUUUCGCUAGGGACGAAGCUUUGUUGUGACGGUACCUAGAUAAGAAGCACCGGCUAACUACGUG